ACCCAUUGUAAUGUAAGAAAGGGAGAUCCAAGGGGUUGCAAUGAGAAGUCAGGCUGAAGGAGAGAUCCGAAGAGCAGCGGAGGAGGGGCAGAGAGAGAAGCCUGGGAGUUCUAAAGGGGUUAGAACUCUGAAGCCAACUGUCAAGGGUCUUCCAGCCUGGGAGGUGAAGGUGGAAGGUGGUUUUCCUGGAAGUUGAGAAAGAGCCCAUCUGUUUAGGCUGUUAUUCCUUCUGGGACCCAAAAAUACCUCCACUAAGACUCUAUCUGAAUUCUCAAGGGGAUUUUGGAUUUGGACUCACUCUGGCCAGAGCCAUCCGGAGAUAUUUCCCUGAGAUUUCUCUCUCUCCCUGAUCUAUUUCUAGACUCCUGAAUUAAAAGCUAGUUAGAUGAAGAAUAGGGAUCAACCAGCAGUGGGCUGGAAGAGGGUUCAAGGCACUCAGUCUUGAACCCCAAGAUCUUGGGGGGGCAGUCUGUCAGAGGGGACAAGUGUUACGGUUUAUUACUCCCCACUUUCCUUGCCCAACACCCUUAUCUCUCCUUCCCUGGGUGAACCCAAAUAAAUUGUUUACAACUUUAGAAUAGGUCUGGAUGGUUUCUGACUCCAGGAAAGGGGACAGAAGAUUUGAGGAAAAUCACAUCUCUCCCAAAAAGGGGAAGGGUGGAGAGGAGCUUUAUCGGAUCAUACCACCUUGGAAGCACCCAAAACUUUCAGGCCUCCCAAGAACUAUCUCUGAAAACAGUAGCACAAAAAACUUGAAGUGUGGAACAGAGCCUCCUUACCAC
Molecule: long non-coding RNA, 782 nt
Filed under: Monodelphis domestica (gray short-tailed opossum)
Lineage: Eukaryota; Metazoa; Chordata; Mammalia; Didelphimorphia; Didelphidae
Description: lncRNA (ENSMODG00000051229.1)
Source: RNAcentral